GUGGGGAAUAUUGGACAAUGGGCGAAAGCCUGAUCCAGCCAUGCCGCGUGUGUGAAGAAGGUCUUCGGAUUGUAAAGCACUUUAAGUUGGGAGGAAGGGCGCUCGGUGAAUACCCAGGCGUCUUGACGUUACCGACAGAAUAAGCACCGGCUAACUUCGUGCCAGCAGCCGCGGUAAUACGAAGGGUGCAAGCGUUAAUCGGAAUUACUGGGCGUAAAGCGCGCGUAGGUGGUUCGGCAAGUUGGAUGUGAAAGCCCCGGGCUCAACCUGGGAACCGCAUCCAAAACUACUGGGCUAGAGUACGGUAGAGGGUGGUGGAAUUUCCUGUGUAGCGGUGAAAUGCGUAGAUAUAGGAAGGAACACCAGUGGCGAAGGCGACCACCUGGACCGAUACUGACACUGAGGUGCGAAAGCGUGGGGAGCAAACAGGAUUAGAUACCCUAGUAGUCC
RNAcentral lists this ribosomal RNA (450 nucleotides) under uncultured bacterium. RNAcentral's name for it is "bacterial SSU rRNA". It matches the Rfam family "Bacterial small subunit ribosomal RNA", at positions 354 to 796 of the family's 1533-position model. The record is from RNAcentral.